AUUGAACGCUGGCGGAAUGCUUUACACAUGCAAGUCGAGCGGCAGCGCGGGGCAACCUGGCGGCGAGCGGCGAACGGGUGAGUAAUGCAUCGGAACAUGUCCAUUCGUGGGGGAUAGCCCGGCGAAAGCCGGAUUAAUACCGCAUACGCCCUGAGGGGAAAGUGGGGACCGCAAGGCCUCACGCGAUUGGGUUGGCCGAUGUCCGAUUAGCUAGUUGGCGGGGUAAAGGCCCACCAAGGCGAUGAUCGGUAGCUGGUCUGAGAGGAUGAUCAGCCACACUGGGACUGAGACACGGGCCCAGACUCCUACGGGAGGCAGCAGUGGGGAAUUUUGGAC
RNAcentral lists this ribosomal RNA (336 nucleotides) under uncultured bacterium. RNAcentral's name for it is "bacterial SSU rRNA". It matches the Rfam family "Bacterial small subunit ribosomal RNA", at positions 28 to 369 of the family's 1533-position model. The record is from RNAcentral.